UGCUGACCACACGGGCAGAGUACACGGGAAGCGCGGUGUUGGGUGUGGACAGUGAUCUGAGCCUGUCCACGGCUUUGGUUGGAAAGAGAAUUGCAUCUCUCAUCCUGGGGCAACGCAUCUAUAAACACAGAGACAGUCAUCUGAGGCUCUUUUUACGAGGCUGAUGGAGUGGAGGGAACCCUUCUUCUUGGCCACCUCUGGCUGUCCCUGGACCGAGACAAGGCCUCAGGGGAGCUCUGAGGGCCAGGCUGAGAGAGACAGUCCCAGGAGCAGAGCCCACCAGACCCAUCACCUCGGCCCCAGCCCGGCCCCCACAACCAUGUGGUCUUAGAUAAUUUGGCUUCCCUGAGCCCCACUUCCUGCCUGCAAGGAGGAGAUGAUCACAGAACCAGCUCCCAGGGUGUGAGGAGGACCAGAUGCAGACGGAGCCUGCCCACUCCCUGUCCAGCAGAGCAGAAGGGCAGAGGGGGUGCUGCCUCCCUCCUGCUGGGAGCCCCAUGCCAAGGCCCACCUGCCCGCUCUUUACUGCACGAAACAUAGCCAAGUCUGUUGGUGCUGGU
Molecule: long non-coding RNA, 560 nt
Organism: Homo sapiens (human)
Lineage: Eukaryota; Metazoa; Chordata; Mammalia; Primates; Hominidae
Exons: 2
Source: RefSeq, a predicted model, not a curated record